AGUUUGAUCCUGGCUCAGAACGAACGCUGGCGGCAGGCUUAACACAUGCAAGUCGAACGCCCCGCAAGAUGAGUGGCAGACGGGUGAGUAACGCGUGGGAACAUACCCUUUUCUACGGAAUAGCUCUGGGAAACUGGAAUUAAUACCGUAUACGCCCUACGGGGGAAAGAUUUAUCGGGGAAGGAUUGGCCCGCGUUGGAUUAGCUAGUUGGUGGGGUAAAGGCCUACCAAGGCGACGAUCCAUAGCUGGUCUGAGAGGAUGAUCAGCCACAUUGGGACUGAGACACGGCCCAAACUCCUACGGGAGGCAGCAGUGGGGAAUAUUGGACAAUGGGCGCAAGCCUGAUCCAGCCAUGCCGCGUGAGUGAUGAAGGCCUUAGGGUUGUAAAGCUCUUUCACCGAUGAAGAUAAUGACGGUAGUCGGAGAAGAAGCCCCGGCUAACUUCGUGCCAGCAGCCGCGGUAA
Molecule: ribosomal RNA, 465 nt
Filed under: uncultured bacterium
Lineage: Bacteria
Description: bacterial SSU rRNA
Rfam family: Bacterial small subunit ribosomal RNA
Source: RNAcentral